This 360-nucleotide long non-coding RNA is filed under the name Linum usitatissimum (flax). Its description in RNAcentral is "long non-coding RNA (LUSI_LNC001438)". Lineage: Eukaryota; Viridiplantae; Streptophyta; Magnoliopsida; Malpighiales; Linaceae. The record is from RNAcentral.
CAGCCUCGACAUGCCCACUACAUGUAAAGUCAAACCAAUAGGGUUAGAUUCCAUAAACCCAGACCAUUUAUUGACACUGAGUUUAGCAGACUACCUGCAGAAUGUCUAGUCAACCUACUGCUCUCAACUACCUCCUAUUACCAUCCUAAUCUAACCCAAUGAACAAAAGAACACAGGACCGAUGUGGCUUAUCCGAGCAUUAACUUUGUCUGCAACUUAUUUUACGACAUACAAUAACUGAGAAGCACACUAAGUAAAAAAGACCGGACCAUUUUAUCAUCCCACUCCAAUACAUCUAUCUCUCGACCUUUCCAUCAUCUCUCCUGGAACCAGAAUUUAAAUAUAAUGGCACAAGAAACA